GUGCUCACUACAGCAGCACAUAUACUAAAAUUGGAUUGAUACAGAGAAGAUUAGCAUGGCCCCUGCAAAAGGAUGACAGGCAAAUCUGUGAAGUGCUCCAGAUUUUU
This is a small nuclear RNA of Pygocentrus nattereri (red-bellied piranha), 107 nucleotides long. Lineage: Eukaryota; Metazoa; Chordata; Actinopteri; Characiformes; Serrasalmidae. The record is from Ensembl.